RNAcentral lists this long non-coding RNA (2363 nucleotides) under Gossypium barbadense (sea-island cotton). RNAcentral describes it as "long non-coding RNA (GBAR_LNC017496)". Lineage: Eukaryota; Viridiplantae; Streptophyta; Magnoliopsida; Malvales; Malvaceae. The record is from RNAcentral.
AUACUUCAAACUCGAAAUCCUAGACCUUAAAUCUUAACCUUAACUUUAAACCUUAAAUUUUAAAUUUAUUAAUUUUGACCACAACCCUAAUUUCAUAAAAAGAUAAAAAUCUAAAACUUAAACUCUCUUUUCACUAAUCCCUUUUCUCUAUCACCAAUUGUAUGGUGGAGAUGAGAGUCCAUGUACGACCUUAGAUUGAUAUGUGCCUCAACCAAUAGCCAUGUGUCCCAAGUAGGUGCAACUAUUCAUUUCUGCCAGCCUGGCAUUCUUUUUGAAAACUCAUCUCUAUCUCUCUCGCCAUGGAAACAAAAGCUUCCAAAAUACCAAAAAUAUUUAUCAAAUAUCCUACAUCAACGCCUCUCUACAAGCUUAUGAAAUGAUACGAUUCAAGUCCAAAUCUUAAAUAUUCAUCCAUGCAUGUGGAGUAAUUAGAAGUUGAAUCAUCUUUAAGAUAGAUUUUGAAUAGAGAAAAUAGUGUGGGAAGAACUUAUAGAGACAGAAACAGUAAAACUAUCAUUUAAUCCUUUUAAAAUUUGUGAAAUUACAUGUUAAUAUUAGGGGUAAAGCCAAAAUUUUGUUUUGAUGCUAGAAAUGAACAAAAAAAAUUUAGAGUCAAAGCGGAAAUUUACCACUGUACUAACUUGUGAUUUCUUAAAAACUAAAAAGACUAUAUAAAAAAAAUUUCAUUUUUUGGAAGUCAAAGCGGCUCGCUGCCUUCCCCUCUUCUGCUUCUAGCUCCUCUACUUUUAAUUAAUAUAAUGAUAAAAUUAUACUUUACCUUCUCAAAAAUUUAUAAUUCAUUUAUAACCUUAAAACAACUUUAAACAAAAAUUAUUACAAGAUCCAAUUAGAUAAUUAAUGAGUUACUAGUUGUGAAUACAGGCAUGCACAUAUAUCUGGUUUUUUCCUCUAAAUAAUUUUAGAGCCGAAAGUAAAAAGUCAUCUCAUUUAUAUUUACUUGGUACAAUAAAUUUUUUUAGUGAAUUACAAGUGGAGGGCAAAGCUCUAACAACAACACAACUAGUGUGACUCGAACCCAAACCAUACCUAAGGUGCCCUGACCAUCAGGCUAACACACGAGGUUCACUUGGUACAAUAAUUAUCCAAGCAAUGGUUAUCAAGAGUUGAAUAUUUACCUUUUCACUUCCAUUUCUUUAAUUUAUCACUAGAAAUUUUAUCACAUAUCUAUAUGUGUAAAAACCACAUACCGAGAGCACAAAGGUGUGUUUGAAAAUAACAUACAAUAAAUAAUAAACGUACGGCUUAAAACUAAUUAAUAAUAACACAUAAAAUAUGUAUGAUAUUAAAAUAGAAAAAAAUGAGAUUAAAUUAUGAGUAAGACGAAAUUUAAACACAUAAAUGCAUCAACUUAAGAAUACUAAAUUGAGUAUAAUUAUCUAUCAUGAUGUUGUCAUCAAUCUUGAGUUGGUGUCGAGUGAACUUGUGACAUCAACUCAAUCAAAAACAUUAUUAAUAUAUACAACUGAUGGAGGUAAUGAAUUGUGCACAUUAAAAUAAAAACAUUAAAACGAAGUUUUGCUUUAGUGGUAAAUUUAAUAUUUUACUAAUCCAAUUAACAUGGUUUUAAAUCUCAUUGUAUACAUAUUUUAUUGGUUUUUGUUAAAAUAAGAAGACUUAAUUACAGAAUGACAUUUCCAUAAAUUUCCUAACCGAAUUGGUGAUGGUUGACUCGUGACACUAACUCAAUAAAAAGCUUUAUAAAUAGUAUAAAUAAUUAUGUGCCAAAUGGACUAAAAUUAUUUAAUACAUUAUUAUCGUACAAAUAUUUGAACUCUACAAAUAAGAUUCAAAAAUAUAGAAUGAGACAUGUAGAAGCAUUUGAAGUUGUAAUAUAAAAAAAUUCCACUGUCAAUGUAUUAAAUAUUAAUCUUAAAAUAAAUAUAUAUUUUAAUUGUUAUAAGUGUAAAAUAAUAUUAAUCUUAAAAUAAAUAUAUAUUUUAAUUGUUAUAAGUGUAAAAUAAUAAUAUUAUUUGGAAAAGCCCCUUUCUUCAUUCCAUUAUAGUACUAUAUGUACUAUUAUGGGUAUAAAUCCUAGUUGCUAGACUUUGAAUUUUCGGAUUAGCUAUGUCAAUGCUCCAUGGGGUAUUUACUAUGAUGAACGGACGGUUAGGAUUUAAUCCAAUUCAGAUGUGGUCUAGACUUUGUAUGAGAUUAAAUUAAGUCAUCAACUUAUAAUGUCCAUUGUCCAAGGCAAAAGGAGUACUUUUACGACGUCGUCGAUACUAAAUAUCUUUAAAUUAUUAUGUAAUUUGACUGUACCCCAGGGUUUUGUUGUAAUUUCCUCUAAUGGCUAAAUAUAUAAAAAGAAAAAAGACAAUUUUCAACCACUUUUUCGAAUUCCA